Long non-coding RNA from Poecilia latipinna (sailfin molly), 2594 nucleotides. RefSeq lists it as uncharacterized. Lineage: Eukaryota; Metazoa; Chordata; Actinopteri; Cyprinodontiformes; Poeciliidae. The transcript has 2 exons. The record is from RefSeq and is a predicted model, not a curated record.
CAGACGGGAGGGACAAUCUGUUAGCCAUCCUGUUCAGCUGCUUUAUUUUUCAUAAGCACAAAUUCAGAUUGAGUAUUAACAGCAAAAAAAAAAAAAAAGAAAAGAGAACAGCCUUUUUUAUUAUUAUUAUUGGAUAAACACUCCAAAGUGUUUACUUUGAAGGUUCUCAUCUGGAACAAAUCUUCUUCUGAACCAUAAGGUAAAGGCAUUAACAUACAGUUGAUGAGGGGAGGUUACCAGGGCGCGCACGCGUGUGUGUGUGUGUGUGUUUUAUAUAUCUAUCUGAAAACACUCAAAGCGACUGACCACUUUGCAGCUGAGUGGAGCAUGUGAGUCAGAGUUUGCCCCAGCAAUCUCAUCCCCUUCAACAGAACGCUGUAAGCAGCGUUACAGUCAGCAGAGGCGCCUCUUAUUAUUAUUCUGCAUGUGUGAGAAUGUGAGGCGCCGCUAUCUCCGCUCCCCAUCGGUCCGGUUGGUUCUUAACAAAGAGCCGCUGCUGCUUUAUGAGGCCUUUAUCUGCGCUAAUCCGCGCCGCUAAUGCCAUCUCGGACCAGAUUAUCAGCUUCAGAUUGGUAAUGACAGAGCCGUGAACUCUUUCAGAAGUCAUAACCGGAAAAUCUGGACGGGAGUGGAGCCCGACAAAAAAGAGGGUGCGGGAUCAGAGGCAGGACAGAGGAGUGAGAACAGAGAUGAGGAGGUGGGGGGGGUGACAGAAUUGGGUGGCAGUCAAUUUUAAUCUGCAGUCAAAAGAAGAGGCAGCAGGGGGGUUGAUAGAAAUUCCUGCACACACAUGAUUGUGUGAUUGCUUCAACUGACAGAAAUGACAACCAUCCAGACCAGACGAGUGAAUGUGACCCAGAUAAAAGGAGGGAAAGGUUGGAGGGGACGUCUUCUGCUCUCCCGCACUGCGAUAACACAAGUUCUGUUUUUUUUUUCCCUCUUCUCUGCAGAUGCAUGCAGUACGUUCAUAAGGAAACGUUCAAGUUGGGGGACUUCAGUUGUUCACUCUGUGGACUGAGACAAAUGUGUGACAGUGGCGCCUACGUCUCUGUCUGGUUAGAGAAAGAUGGACAGAUGGAAAGAGAGAAACAUUCCUCCAGGUGGAAAGAUUGCAAAUCAAAACGACCACCUCUGGACCCCGUUCCAAUUUGUCUGUCCACUCUGAACUUGUAAAACGGAUCCUAAUACAAUGAGCCGGAACGCGGCGCUCCUGACCGCCUGAAACUCAGCGGCAACAGAUGGAACAAUGAGCUCCUGCGUAUCAGGGAUCUGGCCUCCACCGCCGCACACAUAAUUCAGCCAGGAUCGCACACAAACUUAAACACUGUAAUCCAUUUUUCUGAACAAAAAACAUCUGGGACCGAAAAUCCACUAAUCUGAUAUUAAAUCCGCCGAUUUGUUGAAAAACAGUGAGAUUAGCCAGAAUGUCAGGAAAAAAAAAAAAACUGACUUAACUGCAUAUGAGGAGGAGGAGGUUGGAUUGUGUGUGAGGCUUUGUGUGAGUUUGAGUGUGUGUGCUGGUAUUGUAUGCUGGGUGUUUGCGCUGUCCUGGCUCAUGUAAGAGGCUUGUCUAAUCUCAUUGGUGAUACCUUCUGUCUGUCAUCCACUCCUCUCUUUAUUAUUCCCCCACUUCAUUGCUCUGGAAAAAAAAAAGGAAACACUAAUCCUCAUCUCUCUCUCUCCCAUUCCCUCCCUUCUCCUCUCUCCUAUGUCUCUCUCUGUCUCUUUCAGUCACUAAUAAACACAUAACAAUGAAGCCGCCCUGCAGGCAAAUAGCAGCACGGAGGAACAACACAAACACUAAUUAUAGCCUGUUACAUAUGUGUAAUAUUUGAACUAUCAGUGCUGCAUGAAAAAUGGAUUAGGAGUAAAAAAUAGUGAUUCAUUUGUCAUUUUUUUCUUUAUGUGAGCAUGUGGUUAGGAAGGAUUAUGGUGCUGUCAUCACAGUACUGCUAGAAAAAAAAAUACUGUUCUUGUUGUUAUAGAAACACUUUUUCUUAAAAACUUUGAGAUUUCCACUCAUGGCAAUGUAUAUUUCUUGUAAAAAUGUUUGCAGCUUAAGAAACUGAGCUUGUACAUCUACAGUUUGUUUAGAGACGGAGUGGGACGUUUUAAUUGGUCAAAAAGCUUCGUAAGUGUUGAAGUUGUUACUGAUGGAAGUAGACUCAGCUAGAUAUUUUUCAUGUCAAUAAACUGUUAAAAAGUAACUGUGUUCCCUGUUAUCCCUAAAAUAAAAUCUGGCACCAGUGACAAUUUGCCAAACCCAUAAGUGCAGAUCUAUUUAGUCUAAUUCUACGCUUUGUGCUCUGAGCUUCAUUAUUUAUUUUACAUUAUAUUUAGAAUUUCUAAUUCCACUUUCUGAACCAUUUAAAAGAUUUGUUGCAGUUUAUUUUUAGUUUGACCAAGAUAGUCAACCUUUUUGAUUUUGUCAGUUUAACUUUAUUUAUUUUACAUUGGCUGUUGUUCUCCUAAUUUCACUGAUUGAACAAAUGAAAGUUGUUUUUGCAUAUUUGAACAAAGCUUGUAAAGUUAUUAAUCAAUUUAAAUGUGCUGUACUGAUGCCGAGUUAUAAAAUAAAUUUGUACAUAAACACA